RNAcentral lists this ribosomal RNA (468 nucleotides) under uncultured bacterium. RNAcentral describes it as "partial 16S ribosomal RNA". It matches the Rfam family "Bacterial small subunit ribosomal RNA", at positions 28 to 507 of the family's 1533-position model. The record is from RNAcentral.
GACGAACGCUGGCGGCGUGCUUAACACAUGCAAGUCGAACGGAAAGGCCCUGCUUUUGUGGGGUGCUCGAGUGGCGAACGGGUGAGUAACACGUGAGUAACCUGCCCUUGACUUUGGGAUAACUUCAGGAAACUAGGGCUAAUACCGGAUAGGAGCUCCUGCUGCAUGGUGGGGGUUGGAAAGUUUCGGCGGUUGGGGAUGGACUCGCGGCUUAUCAGCUUGUUGGUGGGGUAGUGGCUUACCAAGGCCUUGACGGGUAGCCGGCCUGAGAGGGUGACCGGCCACAUUGGGACUGAGAUACGGCCCAGACUCCUACGGGAGGCAGCAGUGGGGAAUAUUGCACAAUGGGCGGAAGCCUGAUGCAGCAACGCCGCGUGCGGGAUGACGGCCUUCGGGUUGUAAACCGCUUUCGCCUGUGACGAGGCGUGAGUGACGGUAAUGGGUAAAGAAGCACCGGCUAACUACGUG